GACGAGGACGACAUCCCAUUAAACCCAUUGGAUCUUGUUUGGGCUAAAUGCCGAGGCUACCCUUCCUACCCAGCCCUGAUAAUCAAUCCCAGAAUGCCCCGUGUAGGCUUCACACACAACGGUGUUCCAAUCCCUGUACCUCCACUCGAGGUGCUCAACCAGAAAGUCUUUGCUGAAGAGCAUCUCUACUUGGUAUUAUUUUUUGACAAUAAGCGCACAUGGCAAUGGUUACCAAGGGCCAAGUUAGAACCUCUUGGUGUAGACAGUGGCUUAGACCAAGCUAAGUUAACAGAAGGCCGCACGUCUGC
Anneissia japonica is the source of this 308-nucleotide long non-coding RNA. RefSeq lists it as uncharacterized. NCBI's taxonomy places the organism in Eukaryota, Metazoa, Echinodermata, Crinoidea, Comatulida, Comatulidae. The record is from RefSeq and is a predicted model, not a curated record. The transcript has 3 exons.